UACGUAGGUGGCAAGCGUUGUCCGGAUUUACUGGGUGUAAAGGGCGCGUAGGCGGGCUCGUAAGUCAGACGCGAAAUACCGGGGCUCAACCCCGGGGCUGCGUUUGAAACUGCGAGUCUUGAGUGCCGGAGAGGAAAGCGGAAUUCCCAGUGUAGCGGUGAAAUGCGUGGAUAUUAGGAGGAACACCAGUGGCGAAGGCGGCUUUCUGGACGGUAACUGACGCUGAGGCGCGAAAGCGUGGGGAGCAAACAGG
This 253-nucleotide ribosomal RNA is filed under the name uncultured bacterium. RNAcentral's name for it is "partial 16S ribosomal RNA". It matches the Rfam family "Bacterial small subunit ribosomal RNA", at positions 524 to 776 of the family's 1533-position model. The record is from RNAcentral.